Long non-coding RNA from Mustela lutreola (European mink), 5413 nucleotides. RefSeq lists it as uncharacterized. NCBI's taxonomy places the organism in Eukaryota, Metazoa, Chordata, Mammalia, Carnivora, Mustelidae. The transcript has 3 exons. The record is from RefSeq and is a predicted model, not a curated record.
UCGAGUGGGCGGGGCUCCCGGCGCGCAGUGACGGAAGCCGGCCGGGGUCCGGAAGCGGGGUUCCGGCGGGGCGCUGUUCCCGUCUCUAGGGGGCCGAGAGAGAAGCGCUGCGCCGGAAGUGGUAGCGUGGCCGAGCGGUCUAAGGCGCUGGAUUAAGGCUCCAGUCUCUUCGGGGGCGUGGGUUCGAAUCCCACCGCUGCCAAGGCUUUUUUCCUUUGCGCCCAGGACGGCCGCGUGCUCGGGUCAGUUGUCCGGCUGGGACCGCUGUUUGCGCAGAGGCCGGAGGGCCGCCCUGCAACGUUCAGCUUCAAGGACAGGCCAGUGCGGGGCCGGGAAGUGCUGGCCCAGAAGUGCUUUCGUGCACGAGGUCCUGCACGUCGGGGGCGGCCGUCCUCUCCGCGCUCGGACCGAGCCGCCCGCGCCCGCGACGUCGCUCAUCUUCCUGCAGCCGCCGCCUCACUUGCAGAUGGGAAAGCGCCGGUGCUGGGCCAUGACCGCGGACCGCCCCCAGCGCCGGGUCCCCCCAGCCUCGGUGUCGUCCGGCCUCGGCCCCCACCAGCGUCCGGUGCCCUCCAGCGCCUCCGUCUGUCGCCGGUUCUCUCGCCCUGUCGUGCUUUCUGCUUCCACUCACCUGCUGCCGCGUCCCUGCGACCGUCGUGCGCGGCUCCCUGCCCGAGCAGACUUGUGCACGCGCGGCGUCUCUUUCUCAUCUUCCAGUCCUUAGCGUGAAGCUCGGAGUCCCGUGCGGUUCACGAGCAUUAGAGUCCGGAACUGUCCUUUGUCUGGGCUGUCUUCCAAAGAUAACGCAUAUAAAGAACAGCCUUGGAAGACAGAGAUGGUGUCACGUCUGGUGCGAAGGACUGGGGUUUUGAGCUCCCUGUGCUCAGGCUUCCUGUCCUGGGACACUACCCCGCCAUGUGCAGCAUCUGUCUGGCCCAUCGGAGCCACCCUGUGGGAAUGGGUGCUUUUGAGGCAUCUGCAGGGAGGCUGAUAAUGUGGCUCCUGCUCUUGCCUGAGAAUAAAAUGUCCUUUAUCUCUGAAGGGUGGCGGAGUAUGUCACUCUGGCAUAAGAAUUAUUUCGAGCUAAAGGCACUUAACAAUACAGGUGCAAGAAGGGUGCUCUGACCCUCUCCUUUUUCUUCUGGAAAGCAGGAGGUAAAACCCUUAUGUGGAAGAUGUCCUCCUUAUGUACCAAGAUGAAAGUAAUUUUCUUAACAUCCAGGGUAGGAGGUCAAAGCUGGAAGGAUUCUGUACCGAUCUUGUUAAAAUAAUUCUUCCUUUAGUCUCCUCAUCCGUUUUACUGGUCCGCCAUUGCCUCUCUUUUGUUCAACCUCAUGUAAAAGCAGUUCCGUUUUGCCACUUUUCUGGAUACUCGUUUCCUUCUGAGGGUUCACUUGUCAUGUAAAACUUUCAGGAAGUAAGUUUGUAUGGUUUUCUCUUGCCCGUGACCCAUGUCAGGCCCCGAUGAAAAUCCUGAGGUAAGGUACGUUUUUGCCUUCCAUCUCUGACCCAGCAGUCUCUCGUGUUCCACGAGCCACCUUGAAACUGACAGGCUAAUUAGUUACCUUAUAAACACAGUGAAAUAUCAGAAUAUUCAGUUCUUGACAGACAUAUGCUGUCAACAGGCAGAGAAAAGGAGAGGUGUUUAAAUUGUUACGAGUUACGUGUAAGUAAGUUACAACUGAAAUUUAGGAAUUACACCACUGGGAAGGGAGGCAGCAUAGGAGACUGCAUAAAGCCAAAAAACCAUACUCCUAUUGUUAUUUCCUCUUUGGCUCUUUUAGUCACUUGUCCUUGCUUUCUUUCCCCUUUGAAAUUUGAGAGUUGCCCUCUGGUGCUCAUCAUCCCCCAACUGAUUUCCAUCUUCUGUCCUCCUGGUAUGAUGCAUUUUUUUCAUGCUGAGACAUGUCUGAAAUUAUGUUGAUAUGGAUGAACUACCUGAUAUUUUCCAUUUUGUAAAAUUUGAGCACAUUGGAUUUACUGGUUGCCUUAUCUUGUCACUUGAUUAGUUUCCUGUCAGUCUUGAUAUGAUUCCCUAAUUCUUCAAAAUAACAGUGAAACUCCUAAAUGCUCUUUUCUAUCUGGUCAGUGCAUUGGAUGUUAUUCUUCCCUGGAGAUCUUCCGCCCAGACUGCUUCUCCAUCAUGUUCGUCCGGAUCCACUGCACAGAACUGGGGGUUUGCCUUUGAUGCCUCCUUCCUUUUGCUGUAAAGUCUGCUUCUUGAGUCCCAUCUCUCUUUUUUUAAAUUCUUGAUUUCACUGAUUUGCUUGAGUGGAGUUUAUGAUAAGAUAAAACAUGUGAGAUAAAAUUUUUGAGACCUUUCUUGUCUUUAAAAUAUCUUUAUUUUACCUAGUAAUUGAUUAAUCAUUUGAUUAUAGAAAUCUAAGUUAAAAUUGUUUCCCUUAGGAUUUUUUUUUAAAGAUUUUAUUUAUUUGACAGAUCACAAGUAGGCAGAGAGGCAGGCAGAGAGAGGGGGAAGGAGACUCCCUGCUGAGCAGAGAGCCUGAUGCAGGGCUCAAUCCCAGGAUCCUGAGAUCAUGACCUGAGCUGAAGGAAGAGGCUUAACCCACUGAGCCACCCAGACGCCCCUCCCUUCGGAUUUUGAAGGCAUUACUCUGCUGUCUGUCAUCUUCAAGUGCUCUUCUUGAUUAUUCCAAUGGUAAUUUAUUUUCUUGUCCUUUAUCUUUGACUUUUCUUUUUCCUGCCUGAAAACUCUGACAUCUUUCUUUUAUCCACAGUAUCUUAUGCAGAUGUUUUACCAUUCAUUGAACCAUGUGCUUGGCAGGCCUUUCCCUGUAGGAACGGAUUUUCUUACACGAUUAGAUAAUUUCCUGUGUCUUUUGUUCAUUUCAUUCUUUUGGAACUUCUGCUAAAUGGAACUCCUUCUCUAGAUUUUUUUUGUACCCCUUUUAUUUUAUACUUUUGAGAAGAUAUGCAAGUGUAAACAUUUUGAAGCACAAUAUCAAAAUGAGCACUUUUGAACAGAUCACUCAACAUGUAGAGCUGCACUGUCCAGUAUGGUACCCACGAGCUCCAGGUGGUGAGUUAGCACUUUAAACGUGGCUCACGUGACCGAGGAAGUAAAUUUUUAAUUCUAUUUAAAAUUUACAUUUAAAAAGAGCAUUCUGCAUUCUGUUACUGCAAAACUUCCUUAUUUAUUUUUUUGGUAACAUAUAAUGUAUGAUUUGUUUCAGGGGUACAGGUCCGUGAAUCAUCAGUCUUACACAAUUCACAGGGCUCCCCAUAGCACACACCGUCCCCAGCGUCCGUCCCCAGCCACUCCAGCCCUCCCUCCAGCCCCCAGCAGCCUAUCAGAAAACUUCUUAGUAUGUUUGGGACAACUUGAUUUGUGAAUUUAUUUUUUCAACUGUAAAUUUUAUGAAAUCCAAGUACAGACCUAAGUAUAGUACUUCUAAUGAAAAUGUAGCUGUAAAUGUAGAAUACAGCAAAAAAUACUUCAUUAAUAUGUUUUUGACUGUAUAUUGAAAUGAUAGUUCAAACAUAGUGGGCCACUUUGAAAUACACUACUAAAGUUAAUUUCUUUUCAUUCUUUUAAUGAGUACCUUUUAAAUUAUGUUUGUGGCUGGCAUUACGUUUCUUUCUUUUUUUUUUUUUAAAGAUUUUAUUUAUUUGACAGAGAGAGAUCACAAGUAGGCAGAGAGGCAGGCAGAGAGAGAGAGAGAGCCCGAUGCGGGACUCGAUCCCAAGACCCUGAGAUCAUGACCUGAGCCGAUGGCAGCGGCUUAACCCACUGAGCCACCCGGGCGCCCUGGCAUUGUUUCUAUUGGACAGGUCUGGGCUAGAAUAUUACUAAGACAUUUGCAUCAACUUAUGUGCCUCUCUCCUAUCCCAUCACUGUGACUGCUUUUCAAAGGUAGCCCCUAUGCUAAAUUCUGUGUUUACCAUUCCUUUACAUACACAAAUAAUGCACUUAUGAGUAGCUCUCCAGUCAAUGUACGACUUUGUCUUCCUCGCUUCUGAACUUCAUACAGACGGCACCAAGCUGUGGGUUGUCUCCCGGGCCUUGCUUUUCCUAUUCGCACUGUCCACUCUCGACUCACGUUCCUGUGUGGAUAACGCAAGUUGCAAUGAUGGUAUUGAUCAAUUCUGGGAAGAACUUACAUCUUUAUAACACCGAGUCUUCCCCUGCACGGACACAUACAGCCUUGACCAAGAACAGUCAACUUGGUCUUGAAGAAAAAUAAAUAGGACUUAGAGAUUUUAAAGCUGUGGUAAUUAACCAGGUCGGCGCCGUGUGAGGACAGACAUUAGACCAAGGGAACAGAAGGAAAGGCCAAGACUUCGAGACAUGACCCUCAUAAGGCCGUCUUCCACUUGGCCACUGUCUUCUAGAACACCCACUGUGAUCCAGACACCCACCGGGGAGACUGCCAGCGGGCUCUCGGGUCUGCAGCGAGAACCCCAGAUGCCUAGCUUCAGCUCCGGGAAUCUUCAGCCGUUUUCUGAACAUUUUUUUUUUUUAAAAGAUUUUAUUUAUUUGACAGAGAGAGAUCACAAGUAGGCAGAGAGGCAGGCAGAGAGAGAGAGGAGGAAGCAGGCUCUCUGCUCAGCAGAUGUGGGACUCGAUCCCAGGACUCUGAGCCGAAGGCAGCGGCUUAACCCACUGAGCCACCCAGGCGCCCCCGUUUUCUGAACAUUUAAAAAUAAACAGCGAGAAAGCAUUAAAGAAAUUUCAGGUAUUUUGCCUUGUGGAAAAAGAAGUGCUUGAUUUGUCUUGAAAAAUUCGAAAGACUGUUUUGUGGAAAGUGAGUGAAACUCGCUCUGUGGGGAUGGAAGGACACCCAACUGCACCAGGUGUAGAAGCUAUAGAACACAUCUCUGCUCGUGGGUGGUUCAAAAUCUGAAACCUGGAUCUUAUUCCACUUCUGAAAACUGAGUGAAGUGUGCAUUCCCUACUUCCGUUGUGAAGGUAAAGUGGAAACAGUCUCAUUGUAUCAAUGUUCAGAGUGACAUAUUUCUCAGAUUUUGCAUUAAGGUGAUGAGGUUAAAAAUCUCUAUUUUUUUUUUUUUUUUUAAAGAGACGGAAGGAGGGAGGGAGAGAGAGGAGGAGGAGGAGGAGAGAGCGGGAGGAUCUCCAGUAGACUCUCCACCAAGCAGGCAACUCAAUCUCACAACCCUGGGAUCGUGAUCUGAGCUGUAAUCAAGAGUCUGACACUUAACCAACUGAGCCACCCAGGUGCCCCCGGGAUUUUCAGUGUCUAAUUAACAGCCUUGUUGGCUGUGGUUAUUUAUUUUAAUUCUGUCUGUAAAAAAUACUUGUAACAUUUGAAAGAGAAAGGGUGUCUGUUACGAGAUACUGAAAGACUUGGAAAGAUAGAUGCAAGUUUCUCAUACAUUUUAAAGAGCAUUUCAUAUGUCAUGCAAAUAAAUACAGCAAGUUUUAAGAAAUCAA